Molecule: long non-coding RNA, 819 nt
Filed under: Marmota monax (woodchuck)
Lineage: Eukaryota; Metazoa; Chordata; Mammalia; Rodentia; Sciuridae
Source: RNAcentral
CAGUGGAAGAAAAGGAACACAAACAACAUCUUCAAAUACUAAAAAAUAACUUUAACCCAAGUUUCUGCAGCUAGAAAAUUGAAAUUUUUAGCUUGAGGAAAAUGUAGAAAACUUUUCACACAGAAUCUGGAGCACACAUUCUCGGUCUUUGUACAGGACAGGAAAUGCCCACAUGACACAUCCAGGCAAAAGUGGGUGGCAGUGGAUAAAAGUCUCAUUUGUACAAAGAUGGAAAACAGGAAUGAAUUUUAAAACUUUCUUUUCUUAUUUGAAUGUCUAUGACAGAUGGAACCUGUCCUCAAAAUUAUAAGGAGGCACCCUGGGGUGUGUAAUUUAUGACACCCAAAUGCCUGAGGACAGCACAGUUGACAACUGUUUCCUGCAGAAUCCUGCUGCUAGGAAAGCUAGGAGGAUCCUCCAGGCAGGAGGCCUCCAGGGGGACUGUCAGGAACAGGCUCAGCCACCAGGAGGCCCCAGUGUCCUGCCUCCUGAGUCCCCUCUAGCUGUUCAACACUCUCCCCUCUACACAGGAGAGGGCUGGCCUGUCACAUAUCCAGGAUGAGGAAGUGGCAGUGAGUGACUCCAGAGGCCAGGACACUGAGACUCCUGCCUGCUGACCACUCUGGGAGGAGAACUGCUCCAGAGGAAGCCAGAGGACCCCUGGUGAGGAUGCUCAGGCAGUCCAGGGCAGGGCCACAGUGAGAACUCCAGGCACUUGCUAUGGCAGCCUCAGCUGGCCAACAUAGGGGAGGCCCCUGGAGACCCACCAGAGAAGUCCUUCCAUGGCUGCCCCAUGGUUAACAGCCCACAACACCUGGG